GACGAACGCUGGCGGCGUGCUUAACACAUGCAAGUCGAGCGGUAAGGCCCUUUCGGGGGUACACGAGCGGCGAACGGGUGAGUAACACGUGGGUGACCUGCCCUCAGCUCUGGGAUAAGCCUGGGAAACCGGGUCUAAUACCGGAUAUGACUCCAUGACGCAUGUUGUGGGGUGGAAAGCCUUGUGCGGCUGAGGAUGGGCCCGCGGCCUAUCAGCUUGUUGGUGGGGNGAUGGCCUACCAAGGCGACGACGGGUAGCCGGCCUGAGAGGGCGACCGGCCACACUGGGACUGAGACACGGCCCAGACUCCUACGGGAGGCAGCAGUGGGGAAUCUUGCGCAAUGGGCGAAAGCCUGACGCAGCGACGCCGCGUGAGGGAUGACGGCC
Molecule: ribosomal RNA, 387 nt
Filed under: uncultured bacterium
Lineage: Bacteria
Description: bacterial SSU rRNA
Rfam family: Bacterial small subunit ribosomal RNA
Source: RNAcentral